RNAcentral lists this ribosomal RNA (549 nucleotides) under uncultured bacterium. RNAcentral describes it as "bacterial SSU rRNA". It matches the Rfam family "Bacterial small subunit ribosomal RNA", at positions 355 to 896 of the family's 1533-position model. The record is from RNAcentral.
UGGGGAAUAUUGGACAAUGGGCGAAAGCCUGAUCCAGCCAUGCCGCGUGUGUGAAGAAGGCCUUUUGGUUGUAAAGCACUUUAAGUGGGGAGGAAAAGCUUGUGGUUAAUACCCACAAGCCCUGACGUUACCCACAGAAUAAGCACCGGCUAACUCUGUGCCAGCAGCCGCGGUAAUACAGAGGGUGCAAGCGUUAAUCGGAAUUACUGGGCGUAAAGCGCGCGUAGGUGGUUAUUUAAGUCAGAUGUGAAAGCCCCGGGCUUAACCUGGGAACUGCAUCUGAUACUGGAUAACUAGAGUAGGUGAGAGGGGAGUAGAAUUCCAGGUGUAGCGGUGAAAUGCGUAGAGAUCUGGAGGAAUACCGAUGGCGAAGGCAGCUCCCUGGCAUCAUACUGACACUGAGGUGCGAAAGCGUGGGUAGCAAACAGGAUUAGAUACCCUGGUAGUCCACGCCGUAAACGAUGUCUACCAGUCGUUGGGUCUUUUAAAGACUUAGUGACGCAGUUAACGCAAUAAGUAGACCGCCUGGGGAGUACGGCCGCAAGGUUA